UUGGAAGAAAAAAAUAGAAACUUCCCAAAGUUAAAUAUAGGAAAAAAUGAAGAAAGCAUUAGUGAGUGGGAGGACAACAUCAAGAGAACUAAUAUGUUUAACUGUAGUCCCAGACAAAAGGAAGGGAUGUAAAACAUAUAUGAAGACAUAAUAGUUGACAGAAAUUGUUGAAGGAACUGGGGAUGAAGGUGGAGAAAGAUGGCUUAUCAUCAUCUUCAGCCAUCUAAGAAAAGGUUGACACAUGGAAAAAAGAUCAGAACUCUCUCCUAGGGCCUAUGAGGCAGGACCAAGGCAAAACUAGAAGCUAGGAAGAGGCACUUGAGUCUGAUGUGAUGAACAGUUUCCCCAGACCAGUUGCCCAGCAGUAGACAGAGCUAAUGUUUUACAGACUUGGAGACAUUCUAGCAAAGUUACACAACUCCUUGGCAGAGCAUACUUGGAGAAGUCCACUAACAGAUGGGAGGGAUGGCCCCAAUGGAUGACUUCCAAAGCUUUUCCUAGCCAGCGAUUAGAAUCU
Molecule: long non-coding RNA, 517 nt
Filed under: Marmota monax (woodchuck)
Lineage: Eukaryota; Metazoa; Chordata; Mammalia; Rodentia; Sciuridae
Source: RNAcentral